Molecule: small RNA, 895 nt
Filed under: Drosophila ananassae
Lineage: Eukaryota; Metazoa; Arthropoda; Insecta; Diptera; Drosophilidae
Description: GF27855
Source: RNAcentral
GCGACAUAUUAAGCGUAACAACCUCCAUAAAAGACACCCCUAAAUCGAAAAUAAAAUAACAUCCAAUGAAUGAUGAAAUAUUUACCCAGCUCGCUUUGAUCUUAAGUGAAGAAAACUUCCGAACCAACGCAAAAGAAGUCUCUGAACCCAAACUAAUAUAAAAUGUUUUCGAUUUGGUGUAAACUUUUUUAAUAGCGUUAUGUAUUUCUCUUACAGAACGCAGUGGAUGGAAUUAUCAUUUUGCCCCUUCAUUCAAUCAGUCGAAGCGUCGCUUUCGCACACGCAAUUCUAGAUUCAAAAUACGAUUUGUUAUUUAGGUUUUGAAACGCGUAAAGAAUUUAACUGCGCACACUGCUUGAGGAACUUUCAGGUUUUGAAAUGUGAAAAGAAUUUAACAGCGGACGCUGCUUGAGGAACUUUGAGAACGCAGUGGAUGGAAUUAUCAUUUUGCCCCUUCAUUCAAUCAGUCGAAGCGUCGCUUUCGCACACGCAAUUCUAGAUUCAAAAUACGAUUUGUUAUUUAGGUUUUGAAACGCGUAAAGAAUUUAACUGCGCACACUGCUUGAGGAACUUUCAGAACGCAGUGGAUGGAAUUAUCAUUUUGCCCCUUCAUUCAAUCAGUCGAAGCGUCGCUUUCGCACACGCAAUUCUAGAUUCAAAAUACGAUUUGUUAUUUAGGUUUUGAAACGCGUAAAGAAUUUAACUGCGCACACUGCUUGAGGAACUUUCAGGUACAUAAGUUAACAAAUUUAAAUUAAGCAAGGUAACAUGGUUAUUUAUUUUCGAUAUUGGAUUUGUUUAAAGUGUAUUUUAGUCCACUAGAACGACUUUUUAGUUAAUAUACGGCUCGAUUUUACCUCAAUAAAUAAAGCAAUAAUAAAUAUAACAAAGUUUU